Molecule: ribosomal RNA, 479 nt
Filed under: uncultured Alteromonas sp.
Lineage: Bacteria; Pseudomonadati; Pseudomonadota; Gammaproteobacteria; Alteromonadales; Alteromonadaceae
Description: bacterial SSU rRNA
Rfam family: Bacterial small subunit ribosomal RNA
Source: RNAcentral
GAGGGCAGCAGUGGGGAAUAUUGCACAAUGGGGGGAAACCCUGAUGCAGCCAUGCCGCGUGUGUGAAGAAGGCCUUCGGGUUGUAAAGCACUUUCAGUUGUGAGGAAAAGUGAGUAGUUAAUACCUGCUCACCGUGACGUUAACAACAGAAGAAGCACCGGCUAACUCCGUGCCAGCAGCCGCGGUAAUACGGAGGGUGCGAGCGUUAAUCGGAAUUACUGGGCGUAAAGCGCACGCAGGCGGUUUGUUAAGCUAGAUGUGAAAGCCCCGAGCUCAACUUGGGAUGGUCAUUUAGAACUGGCAGACUAGAGUCUUGGAGAGGGGAGUGGAAUUCCAGGUGUAGCGGUGAAAUGCGUAGAUAUCUGGAGGAACAUCAGUGGCGAAGGCGACUCCCUGGCCAAAGACUGACGCUCAUGUGCGAAAGUGUGGGUAGCGAACAGGAUUAGAUACCCUGGUAGUCCACACCGUAAACGCUGGGG